CUCACAAUGGCCAGCUUUGUUCCUGCAUGGGUUUGAGGAACACAAACUCUGCUAUGUCCACCAGCACCCUGUGGCCCAGGACCUGCCAUCAUCUUCAACAGGAACCAAGGAAAGCCGAUUCAUUACAAUGCUGGCUAAUACCCACAGGAACACUGAACUCCACUGUGUGGGAGCUUGAGGGGCCUGUGCUGCCCAUGCCGAGUGUCCACCAUCUCACACUGCUUCUAACACCUUCAAGCCAUCUCCUGAAUCUGGAAUAGUCAUCAUGAGCUGGAGGCUUCCUCAGAAGAACCCUAAAAUCAAGGGGGAUUCUGGUGCCAAGAAAAAUAGCCCAACCCAGCUUCACAGCUGUGAGCCUCCAAUGCGCCCCAGGAAGCUGCCAUCACCAUGGGUAGCGCGACCUGGCUUGAUUUUGCCAAAACAAAGGAAAAUUCCUCCAGCAAUUUCUGUGAAUUUGUUUUGCAAAACUGAAUUGUCUGCUUUUAAUUCCCCUAUACCAAUUAA
RNAcentral lists this long non-coding RNA (504 nucleotides) under Homo sapiens (human). Its description in RNAcentral is "non-protein coding lnc-SLC25A48-7:1". Lineage: Eukaryota; Metazoa; Chordata; Mammalia; Primates; Hominidae. The record is from RNAcentral.